CGGACGGGUGAGUAACGCGUGGGUAACCUGCCUUGUACAGGGGGAUAACAGUUGGAAACGGCUGCUAAUACCGCAUAAGCGCACGGCAUCGCAUGAUGCAGUGUGAAAAACUCCGGUGGUAUAAGAUGGACCCGCGUUGGAUUAGCUUGUUGGUGGGGUAACGGCCCACCAAGGCGACGAUCCAUAGCCGGCCUGAGAGGGUGAACGGCCACAUUGGGACUGAGACACGGCCCAG
Molecule: ribosomal RNA, 235 nt
Filed under: uncultured bacterium
Lineage: Bacteria
Description: partial 16S ribosomal RNA
Rfam family: Bacterial small subunit ribosomal RNA
Source: RNAcentral